Molecule: ribosomal RNA, 302 nt
Filed under: Candona quasiakaina
Lineage: Eukaryota; Metazoa; Arthropoda; Ostracoda; Podocopida; Candonidae
Description: LSU rRNA
Rfam family: Eukaryotic large subunit ribosomal RNA
Source: RNAcentral
AAACAGCACCGAAUGGAUAGGCUAUCCUCAGGUGCUCGUGGAAGCAAUAAUGGUUAUUUUUUCUUUCGAGUGAGCCUGCAAGGAGUUUGGCGAAAGGGAAUCCGGUACUCAUUCCGGAACCUGGACAUGAGGAGUAGUGUUGCUUUAUGCAUCACAUAGCCGCAAGGCAUUACCAUCCUGGAGAAUCCAACCAGAGAGCCGGGAAGAGUUGUCUUUUCUGCUUAAGGGGAAGAGGGCCUUGUGAACUGGGUCGGUCAGAGAGAGGGUCUUUUCCCCGAAUAGCACCGCGGUUCUUGCGGAGU